Linepithema humile (Argentine ant) is the source of this 672-nucleotide non-coding RNA. Lineage: Eukaryota; Metazoa; Arthropoda; Insecta; Hymenoptera; Formicidae. The record is from RefSeq and is a predicted model, not a curated record.
GAUCUUCCAUGCUGUUGAUUUUUGACUGUCCACAGUAACAGACGUCUUUUGAACUCGCAAUUUACUUAGGCAUGUGCUAUUAGGCGAGAAAUUUAAUCAUAUCGAACUCGAUUCUUCUGAGAAAAAGAAAUCAGAAUCUGAGAAGGAGGUAAUUUAUUGAACGUAACUGCUAAAAAUUCAAUCAAAAGAACACACGAGACGAUGACUUUCAAACUGAACUUGUUAUUCAUACUUGUUGUCUUCAAUGUGUUCAGCUUAGGAUACCCAUCUGGUUCAAAAUCACCUUUGCUUCCUGAUGAGCGACCAGCAUAUUGUAGUAUGCCUCAUGACUCUGGUCCUUGCCUUACGGAUGAGACGUCAAUGAAAGCAGCAUUUCAAUGGAGAUUCUUUUUUUCGACAUUAUCGAAUGAAUGUUUUCCUUUCAAGUACGGGGGCUGCGGCGGAAAUAAAAAUAAUUUUAUAAAUUUUGAAGAAUGCAUGAAAAUAUGCAAAUAAUAAUAGUUUAUAUACUUUAACAAUGAAAAAUAUUUUAAAUCCAUUCAAGAAUAUAAAAUUCUUUCAAGCCUAACAUUAUGGAGGCUUUCCCUUAUAUUCAUAUGUUUUGGUAAUAGUUUGAUAUUGAGUUUAAGUUGAAGCACUAAAUAAAAGACCUUGUAAAGUCUUUAUAAAAUA